Molecule: ribosomal RNA, 169 nt
Filed under: uncultured bacterium
Lineage: Bacteria
Description: partial 16S ribosomal RNA
Rfam family: Bacterial small subunit ribosomal RNA
Source: RNAcentral
CCUACGGGAGGCAGCAGUGGGGAAUAUUGGACAAUGGGCGAAAGCCUGAUCCAGCCAUGCCGCGUGAGUGAUGAAGGCCCUAGGGUUGUAAAGCUCUUUCACCGGUGAAGAUAAUGACGGUAACCGGAGAAGAAGCCCCGGCUAACUUCGUGCCAGCAGCCGCGGUAAU